RNAcentral lists this long non-coding RNA (1705 nucleotides) under Salmo salar (Atlantic salmon). Its description in RNAcentral is "lncRNA (ENSSSAG00000118416.1)". Lineage: Eukaryota; Metazoa; Chordata; Actinopteri; Salmoniformes; Salmonidae. The record is from RNAcentral.
GACAAUAAUCCUCUGGUACAUCUAAACUCAGCUAAAUUGGCAAGCAGAGAUGGGUAGCCAGAUUGGCAAGUAUUGUGUAGGACGUAAUAACCAGAGUGCAGAUGCCUUGUCUCGUUUCCAUCCAGAAAACACAGUCCCAAACCAGCUGGAGGACUGAGACCCGGCAUUCCAGGAGAUGCCACCCGAAGUGGUAAAGACCCUGUGUGUGGGGGUGGGGUGGAGGACAAACAAGCUGUCAGAAGACCAGGAUGCUGGAGAAGGACACGGUCAGGCAAGGUUUCCAUAAAGAAGUCUUAAACACUCCCACUGGGCACACAGUGGUUGAAUCAACGUUGUUUCCACAUCAUUUCAAUUAAAUUACGCUGAACCAACGUGGAAUAGACAUUGAACUGACGUCUGUGCCCAGUGGGCUGUGACUGCUGAGAGAGGAUGAGGGCAGCCACCUGACAGACAGGAACGAGAGUCGAAAGAGGCCCUAGAUGUGCUCCGGGAAUGGAAUCUUCUUACAUGGAAAGAGGGUGUGUUGUGUCGGACAUUCCAGGACCUCAAAAAGGGACCAGACGGAGACUACGACUGCAAAUGCACUGUGGCAGAAGGGAACGGCAGGUGUGAAAGAUUUAAUAGAACGAUCAUAGGUUUGCUGGGGACGCUUGGAGAGGAAAGACGGCGCUGGCAUGACUACCUGCAGGAAAUUAUUGAGCUACAGGUGCUGAGCCGGAAGCUGGAAAUGGGUGCCAUGGUGAUGCAGAGAAACAACGAGCGGGAGAUGGGUGCCAUCGUGCCACGGAGAGACUGCAGGUGGGAGAUAGGUGGCCGUGGGACUCCAAUCUGAAGAUGGGGACCGCUGUGACAGGGCUGAAAAGGGCCAAUGUAACCUUCAUGAACCAAGGCGAUCUACAAGGACCACCAAGGGAGUUCACCCCAUAAGAAACAGAGACUUAGGUUAAACGGUUGGGUUAUGUUAUGGCCAUUGGGGACACUGACGUUUCAGCAGGGAAGGAUGUAACAGGGUUCUACAAACCUGCUUAACGUUAUUACUUCUGUCACUAGUGUGGUUUGACUGAGCACAUAUUUUACUUCCUUCACUUGACUGUUUUCACAAUUUGAAUUAUUUGCACGCUUGAGAAUUCUGCACUUAACGAUUGAUUUUGGGCACGUCACCAUAGUUUGCUGUGGUGUGUACAGUGCUGAUUACUCCCCUACCCUCUCUCUCUCUCUCUCUCUCGCUCUCGCUCUCUCUCUCUUUUCCCUUCCUACAUAAUGAUCUCCAUUCAGUUCUCUGGUAACAAUGUCUGACACCAGGUGUUUCUGUUAAGGUUGGUCCUCUAUCCUUUUCCUCUCCUCGUGGUUGUGUGCCCUAUUGUAUAAUUAUUGGAAUGCUGUCUGAUAUGGGGUGUCUCUGUUAAGUCCUAUGUGGCAAGGUGUGUGUUCUGCCACAACUGGAUCGUUGGAAACCCUGAGCUGUCCGUGAGCUAUCGACGCAACCGUUGUUGCUACUGUAGAUACUGCCGCUGAGCAGCUACUGAGCUACAAAAUGAACUGAGCUCAACUGAAUGUGCGCAGUACGUGAAGCAGACUACGGUGGGCCGCUCUGCUUAAACACCUCAACAGCAACCGAUGAACUGAACUAGCCUACUCGACUGCGAUUGCUGGCAAUCCUUUUUAAUCAACCUCUUUAAUUAAGAACCUUUUUGUGACUCCCUUU